This 1215-nucleotide long non-coding RNA is filed under the name Rattus norvegicus (Norway rat). RNAcentral's name for it is "long non-coding RNA NONRATT021818". Lineage: Eukaryota; Metazoa; Chordata; Mammalia; Rodentia; Muridae. The record is from RNAcentral.
UUUUGGUGCUUCUGUCAGUGUGUGUUUGCUUGUUUUAAGUUGGCAAGUCUGUACAUACAUUAUUCGGGAGGGUGGAAAACAAGCCAUUAUCACUGCUAGUCAGUCUUGGGAAUCAGUACGUAACGUCAAAUUUCAAAUGUGGACUCCAGUGACAAAGAAUGGGAAUAGCAGUGAAUAUUAGAUUUUUAAAGGCAGAAGACAUCAUCCACUCAGCUCUCUUAGAACCAUGUUUUGCCAUUCUUUUCCCUCCCCUGAAUUUUUCUGUGUUUGUAAAUAGUUUAAGGAAAAUACAUUCAUGGUCAGCCCUUUCUAAGAGACUUAUUGAAUAUUAACUCUUAUGCAAAAAAAAUAUAUAUAUAUUAUAUAUACCGAGUCUUAUGGGCAUACAAAUGCUACCCUAUUUUAAAUGUAGGUGGCGUAUGUGUUCGUGUUUUAAUGUAUCAGAGCCAUUGGGCAAUAAGCAGUCCAGAACAUUGAAAUCUCAAGCAGGUAAAAGCACCUAAACCCUUAGUUUCUAGAACUAUGUUAAGUAUUUUAUAUUGUGUGCUCCUUGGGUAGUCUCUGGAUUGUAGACUACCUAGAUACACCUUAUACCAUAAUAUGUUUAUUAAUAGUCCAUAGGAAUACGGAAGGAAGGAAACAGCAGAACAGACCAUGGCUCUGACGAUGACUACGGAGUACAAUCAUUCCUCUUCCUUUCUUUCCAUUUUUAAUUUUCCUAGCUUAGCAUGAACACUGACCAUACGUUAUUUGAUAUUCUGUGAUUGGGUUUUUUAUUGCUGAUUACUGAGGUGGGAUAGGCAAGAUAUGAAAAUGUUGAUUCACAUGUGAAAAUAUGCAAUGUUAAAGCUUUUGUUUAAUUUGAACAAUAAGCAAGGCCGUUUUCUAUAUACCCUUCUGCUGCAGCAGAGAGAUAAACUGGUAGGUGGCAGCAGAGAAAGGAAUUCCUCAGACUGAUGGCUGUUGACUGAGAAGAGAUAGCAUGAGACUACCGAGUGGUGGAGGAGCAGCAGAGAUGAAGGCUGGACUCAGGAAGGCUGCCUCUUUACUGAAUGGUUCUCUCCAAGUAACCAGUGAUCUCCUGGAGAAGACAGAACUCGUCACUUUAGAGUGGAGCGAGGAUACGGAAUAAGAAAGAAGUUGUUCUUUGUGUCCUGUUGCAUUCAGUGUGGGUUUUCUUUGUGUAAAUUAAAACACUGAAUGGGGAUACAUAAA